GAUGAACGCUAGCGGCAGGCCUAAUACAUGCAAGUCGAACGAGAUUACGAGGCUUGCUUCUUAUGAAAGUGGCGCACGGGUGCGUAACGCGUAUGCAACCUACCUUAAUCAGGGGGAUAGCCCGAAGAAAUUCGGAUUAAGACCGCAUAAAAACACAGGAUAGCAUUAUCCAAUGUUCAAAUAUUUAUAGGAUUAAGAUGGGCAUGCGUGUCAUUAGCUAGUUGGCGGGGUAACGGCCCACCAAGGCGACGAUGACUAGGGGAUCUGAGAGGAUGACCCCCCACACUGGUACUGAGACACGGACCAGACUCCUACGGGAGGCAGCAGUAAGGAAUAGUGGGCAAUGGAGGGAACUCUGAACCAGCCAUGCCGCGUGCAGGAAGACAGCCCUCUGGGUCGUAAACUGCUUUUAUUCGGGAAUAAACCUUUCUACGUGUAGGAAGCUGAAUGUACCGAAGGAAUAAGGAGCGGCUAACUCCGUG
Molecule: ribosomal RNA, 482 nt
Filed under: uncultured bacterium
Lineage: Bacteria
Description: partial 16S ribosomal RNA
Rfam family: Bacterial small subunit ribosomal RNA
Source: RNAcentral